CCUUCCUGUGCUGAUCAAACUGCAUGUGGACUUGUAUCAAACUUUUUCAAACAACCAUAGACCAGUGCUGUUUAUUCUUAAAGGCACUCAUAAAAAGGCGGUCAACCAAAUAAAAGAUCCACAGGCAGUGCUGGUUCCCUGCCCAAAUCAACAAACUGCACUGGUAACUUUAUGCUCUCACAAACUGAAGAUCUGUAUGCCAGUAGUUAUACAAAAGGAGUUCUGUUCAAGGGACCUACAAUAUCCAGAGCAACCCUUUCCAGUGGAGCACCAACAAUAUAUUGGUUCAAUGGAGCCUUAGGAGUGCAGGUUGGUGGAUUGCUUGAUUGACAUCGUUGACAUUCCAGACAAAACUGUUUUAUUUCCAACCCAGUAAAACCUCUGUCUGACUUAGGCUAAAGUUCUGUUCACUCCUAAGUGUCCAUCUGUAGGGUCACUAUGCAACAUCGUUAGGACCUGAGGUAUAUAUUUUUCAGCUUCUUGAGAGAAAAAUGACGCAGCUCGUCAUCCCUUGAGAAUGGGGUAGCAUCAUGCGCCACCUGCAUUCCUACCCUUCCAUGUUUCUGAAAUAUUGUGUGCUUCCUACUAUUUUGGAAGGCUUCAAAUUCAAGAGCGAGUUGGACAGCAUCUUCAACAAAUUUUGAUUUACCUUGGUGGACAGUCCAUUCAAUUUCAUAUUUAUUCAGUGAAUCUAUAAAACAGUCACGAGCCAACUGUUCUCGGACUUCAGAUGAUGCAUCUUGAUAUGCAUAUCUAACUAACUUUUUAAUUUCAUGAGAAAGAUUUCUUCAGAUCCUUAGCAAUCAUCUCACCAACACACUCAGCAGUACGCGCUCGACCCUGAGGGCUGUGAGAUGGAGACUGAGCCAUUCCCUGGGCUGCAGGUUGGGUGGACCAUGACCAUGCGUCCAUGGCCGAAUGUGAACAUACGCCUUCCAUAGGCGGCUUAUCCAUGCAGGACUGUUGAGCGGACUUACCUGCCGUCUCACCUGAUGGGAUCCUAGAAUAAUUAUUCUUCUCCGAACAUACCUGACCAUUUAUGACAGUAUUGAACUUAGGCCUAUGAGAAAAACAUGAUUUCAUCUGACAUAAUGAAAUGUCAGGAUCAACGGAAGCAGCCUCAACUAAAUUAUCAGUAGUCCCAAGUUCGUAUGAACGGGCACGUCUAUUAGUAGUACCCAGACCACCCGAGAGUAUCCUAUUGUUAACUGACGGUGGGCCCUGGUCGUCAGAAAACGAUACAAGUGAAUUCCGUCCGGAAUCGCAUCUCCGUGGCCCUUUAGUACCAAUUAUGGUUUCCAAAAUGUUCACCCUUUCCACCACGUAGUACUCAUCUCGCUGAUCUGACCUCAAAAUGAAUGCUCUUCAGGCAUUCCUACAAAGAAUUACUAUAAUUUGUACUGACUCCAGACAUCAAUGUUCUGGAACACUGUGUAGAUUCAGAUUGCUCAUUUCUCUCAAAUGUGUUAUAUUUUACAUUAAAUCAAUAAAUGGUACUUCUCCAUUAGGAGUGGCAUCAAAUUUUUUUUUUAACCAGACUUGAUUCAUUACUUUGGCCAUCUGGGAGUUGAGUCUGCAGAACGUCCGCUAAUACUGCUGUGCCCUCACCUGCCCCUGACUAACCAACACAGAAUUUAUUAAGUAACAUCAUUUGGUCAUUUUCUUCUGUUGUUUCCAUGUCAUAAAAUUAUGACAACAUCAAAAUAGUGUAUGAAAUUGAGAUGAUCAAGGAAUUCUCUGGUAAUGAAAUGAUCAAGGAUUUUCAUCCCACCGCUGCCACCAAAUUUCUGUAACGUGCCCGAGGUAUGAGGCUUUUUAUAAUUGAUCAAACCUCCAAUUAAGGAGAUAUAUUUCAUUGUAACCAAUAUAUAUGGUAUUUCCUGGUAAUUUGUUAAUUAGUAAUCCUGGUUGAUUUGGUAAGAUAAAUCCCUGUGUUGGUCAGUAAAAUAUUGCAUUGCAGAGGCAAACAAGAGCACAACAUAAGAUAAUUAAAGUUUCAGCAAUAAUUUAAUGAAGGAAUAACUGUAAUACAGAUGACUGGAUAACCAAAUAAACAAUGGUGAUGUAAUACAUUUGGUCAGAUUGGACGUCACAUAUUAUGAUUUGGUCAUGCUAUUAUGAUUUGGUAACGUUAUUAUGAUUUGGUAAAAUGAUGACUGUUGAUUUUCCUUAAUAAUUCAAUUUGGUCAAAUGUAAACAAUGGUAAAUCUUCGUAGAGACUGUUGAAUUCCUUAAUAAACCUAUUUGGUCAAUAUAAUCUAUAGUAAAAACUCCCCAUUCGUUAGUUAUAUCAGUAUUUACGUACAAUUUCUAUGAAAGUUGUUGCGCAGACGCUCUGCAGAGUCAAACUGAAACCUCAGCAUCCGUGGCGACGCUUAUAUAGGGUAAACUACCGGACAUGCGCAGUGCGCUUUACCUAACCAAAAUGAAAGUGUAGACCAAAAUGGCAGACGAUACUAACAACAUCGCCGAAGUGGGACAAACCAUGAAAAAUACGAACAAUGUGACGCCGAAUCGUAAAACAAAUACAUAGUAAUAAA
This is a long non-coding RNA of Saccostrea cuccullata (small rock oyster), 2540 nucleotides long. RefSeq lists it as uncharacterized. The record is from RefSeq and is a predicted model, not a curated record. The transcript has 5 exons. Lineage: Eukaryota; Metazoa; Mollusca; Bivalvia; Ostreida; Ostreidae.